Long non-coding RNA from Papaver somniferum (opium poppy), 1833 nucleotides. RefSeq lists it as uncharacterized. Lineage: Eukaryota; Viridiplantae; Streptophyta; Magnoliopsida; Ranunculales; Papaveraceae. The transcript has 2 exons. The record is from RefSeq and is a predicted model, not a curated record.
GAGAAAUUCAUUUCUCUCUUUUCUUUCUCGUUCUUCUUCUUAUUAUUUCUUCUUCUCUGUUCUGCUUCUCUAUCUCUCUGUCGAUCUCGGUCUUAGAUAUUUGAGUGUUUAGCCGUAUGAGAGUUCUUGUAAACCUUGUUAUCUUGAUGAACUGAGUGAGCAGAGUAUGUUGAUGCUGUCGAUUGGGAUUUGGGAGAAACAGAAGUUAGGGCUUCAUCUGAUUUUGAGGUUGUGUAGAACUUACGAUGUUUUAGUGUUGCUGAGUGACGAAGAACAGAAGGGUUGUGAAUGAAUUGAAGAUAUGAAGCCGUUUUAAGGAUGAAUCAAAGCCAGGGUUUUCCCCUGUUCUCCCCCAAUUAGGAAUUAGGGUCUUUUGAUUCUUGAGAUUUUGGAUAAAGAGAAAUUAGAGGAUGGGUUUGCUUGAUAUAGAGAUUCGGAUUGAUGAUGUGUUUUCGAAUUAAAGAAAGGAAGUUUGAGAAUUAUCUUAGGGUUUGAGUUAUGGGGAUGAUGAUGAAAUAAGGAUUGAAAAGGGUUUACUAUAUAGAUGUGCAGUUUUAAUUGGUGGCAGUGAUGGUGUUGAACUGGUAUGUGUUUGGCUUGUGCAACUAUAAUCUGGUAAUGAAGUCAGUUAGUGAAGAAGAUGAUUAUGAUGGUGAUUGAAAGAGUUUGUGCUGCUGUUUAAGUGAUCGGGUUGGAUGAUACAUGAUUUGUAGCUGUGUUGAAUUGAUUUUCAGAUGAAGGUGGCAUUGUUACUACUGUGGGGGAUUGUGGUUGAGCUACAGGUGUUACACAAUAAAGGACUAGUAUGGGUUACAAUCGAAGAAAUGAAGAUUUGGUGGAACUGGUGUUGCAGGUUGUUGUAAUAAUGUUGAGUUGGACUGGUGGUGUUGAACUCAGAUGAAUUGAGACAGCCAUUAUGUAGUUGAAGCUGGUGGAAUCUAAAUGUACAAGAGUCUUAAAUGAAUGGUGAUUGUGGCUGUCGAGUUGCAGUUGAUGAAGUUAUGGUGGUGGUGUCUUCUCAUUGAUGUAGAAUUGAAGUUAUGGGAAUUUGGAAUGUGCUGAAAUGUAUAUGGGGUGUUGGUGUUUGAAGUUGCAGCUCUGAAGAAUACUAGUGUCUUUAUGAGUUGCAGUUGAAGAUUAUGUAUGAACUUUUGGGGUUCGUUAUACAGAAGAAUGGAACUGUUUUUUUUUGGAACUGAAGAGGUUGAGGAUUUGCUGGUGGAUGAAUGCUGUCUGAGUUAUGAACGAAAUGUUACAAGCUGAGAUGUGCUGCGACGAAGAUAUAACAAGGGCUAAACGGAUAUGAUAGUGAAUGGUGGAGUUUGAAUUAGAUGAAUGCUUAGGUUUUGCAAAGGGGACGAGGGCAGAUAAAUGAUGGGAUUCGUAUUGCAGGUGUUGUGAUCUUGUGAACUGAACUGUUGAUGAAUUGUGAUAGCUGCAGAUGAGGUUGUCAGUUAUGGUGAAGGUGAUGGCUUGGGAAGCUAGUUUGAUUAGUGUUAAAGGAGAUAAAGAAAUCUCAGGUUAGGCAGUGGUUACGUAUUUGGUUGUGGUAAAGAUAGAAGACGAACUUGAAUGAAAUGAGUUGAGGCUGAAUUGCAGAUAUGAAGCUGGUAACUCUGAAGUUAAAGAGUGAUUGCGAGACUAAUAAUGUUUAGUAUGUAGAUUGUAUUUGAAUCUGUUGCGAAGAGCUGGAACUAAUGAUGUUACUGUUGAAAGAUUGUUAGAAUUGGAGAUAGAAGUUAGUUGUAGCUUAUAGAUCUGUGUCUAGAUAGUAUGUUGUGUGUAAAACUGAUUUGUUUUAGCUUUUACUUUUUUUGUUAGUAUGAUGUCUGA